GCCCGGCCUCCCGCCCGCUCGCCGCCUGGCUCGGCGCUCCUUCGCCCCGAGUUCUCCAGCCCCUGGAUCCCGGGCUCGCGGGGGCGCGGAGAAGAGGACCGAGGAAAGGUGGUCUCCCAUCCAAGUACUAACCAGGCCCGACCCUGCUUAGCUCCCGAGAUCAGACGGGAUCGGGCACGUUCAGGUUGGCGUGGCCGUAGAGCCCCUCGUUUUCUGAAGAGGCUCUUCCAAGAGCCCCAGAACUUAUGAGGCUGCCGGGGUCCCAGCAUCCGAGAGGCCACUGAUCGAGGUCAUUUUCUUUUCCUGAACAUGGGGAGGCCAUCAUAUCAGUGAACUACUAGAUUCGGUUGGCCACUUUGAGACCCGACAACAUCCAACUCCCCAUCAAACAGACAAACAAACAAAGAAACAAAACUCUGAACUUCAGGCCGGUGACGGGCACUGGAAGGAAGCGUCGCCUCCCUGUGAUGGAGCUUGCAGGUGGCCGAGCCUGGUGGAUGCUCAGGUAUCUCGUCAGAAUUGCACUGUGAAGCACGAGGUCAUCACCACCUUUCCCGGUGAGGAAACCGAGGUCCUGGCAGGUUAACUGCCCAGGCCUCACGGCUCACUGUGGCCAUGAUCAGAGUAGGUUAGAGCAGGUCCCUUUGUCCCCUCCGGAGGAAGGGAAGACAGAUGCACAGCAAAUCCCAUCCUGCAUGGGGGUGCUCCAGCAUCAGCCUCACACUUCCUGUCCCCUGUCCAGCCCCAGCACCUCAAAGUAUGUACCGCACUCCUUCUCCUGUUCUAAGUGACACAUUUGACGAGCAGGUCAGCUUCCUGCCCCUCGGCUGGGGACCCACGUAGCCGCCCAGGUUCCCCGGAAGACCAAAGGCAGGAGCGCUGGGCCUGGUGGGGACCAACUGGGCCGUCUCCACCUGUGCUCGCUUCUCGGAUUCUGUCUUUUCUCUCUGGGCAGCAUCAUCUGGAAAAGUCCCUGUCAUCUGGGAGUGGAAAGAUGCACGCUUCCGGAGCCCACUUGGCUGGGUCAGCGAGGGACCCUCGGUGGAGAGACUGUUCCUGGCUUUCGGCUGGUUUGUUCCACACACAGGCAUGUCGGACCUUCCCCCACCUUCCCCCAUCCCUGAUGGAUGUCCCUACGGAGCGAGGACAUAUGCCCUCUGGCUGGGAGUCCUACAGGUAAUAAUUUCUUCUGGAUAGUGACAAAGAGACCAGCAGUUUGUGACAGAUGCGGCUUUUGUGUAAAAGGCGAUUCUCGCGCCUUUUCCUGAAGAAUGCUUCUAUGACGCCUCGCCGGCCUUUCAACCCUGUUGUCAUGUUCCUUGAUCUGAGGCCUGCUCUGCCACUACUCAGAGCUCCCUCAGCCACACAGGAGCCACUUCCUGGUGUCCCUUUGCCCCUGAAGUCAUUGGCACAGGGAAAGCAGCCCUCUCUCCUCCUGGAGACCCUCCUUUUAAUCAAUGCAGCCCGUUUGACUUGCAGCGAGUUAGUCUGAAACAUGUCUGCAGGGGAAACAAGGCCACCAGGACGUCAGAAUUUCCCUUCUUGAGAUGAAGGAGGGAUCGUGCUGGGCUCCUGUCGGCGAGAACGUGCCUUUCAGGUUCCUGAGCUGGCGGCCAUCACCCUCGAGCCCCUCGGGCAUUGUUUUAGGACUCACUGAACGCUGAGGGAAGUUGGAGUAAGGAUGGGGGAAAGCUUCGAGGAAAAGACCGCAAGCUGCCCUUGAACUCCUGAACAGCGUGAAGCACCGUGGGGACACGGCCCGCCAUUUUUGCAAAGGGCCCCGGCUUGCCCUCUGCUCAGGGGGCCUAGUGUGUGGUGACAUUUCAA
This is a long non-coding RNA of Pteropus alecto (black flying fox), 1827 nucleotides long. RefSeq lists it as uncharacterized. The transcript is spliced from 7 exons. The record is from RefSeq and is a predicted model, not a curated record. Lineage: Eukaryota; Metazoa; Chordata; Mammalia; Chiroptera; Pteropodidae.